Molecule: ribosomal RNA, 2927 nt
Filed under: Acinetobacter baumannii
Lineage: Bacteria; Pseudomonadati; Pseudomonadota; Gammaproteobacteria; Moraxellales; Moraxellaceae
Also listed under: 3 other names
Description: bacterial LSU rRNA
Rfam family: Bacterial large subunit ribosomal RNA
Source: RNAcentral
AGAUUAAGUUAUUAAGGGCGCACGGUGGAUGCCUUGGCACUAGAAGCCGAUGAAGGACGUUACUAACGACGAUAUGCUUUGGGGAGCUGUAAGUAAGCUUUGAUCCAGAGAUUUCCGAAUGGGGAAACCCAGCAUGAGUUAUGUCAUGUUAUCGAUAUGUGAAUACAUAGCAUAUCAGAAGGCACACCCGGAGAACUGAAACAUCUUAGUACCCGGAGGAAGAGAAAGAAAAUUCGAUUCCCUUAGUAGCGGCGAGCGAAACGGGAAGAGCCCAAACCAACAAGCUUGCUUGUUGGGGUUGUAGGACACUCUAUACGGAGUUACAAAGGACGACAUUAGACGAAUCAUCUGGAAAGAUGAAUCAAAGAAGGUAAUAAUCCUGUAGUCGAAAAUGUUGUCUCUCUUGAGUGGAUCCUGAGUACGACGGAGCACGUGAAAUUCCGUCGGAAUCUGGGAGGACCAUCUCCUAAGGCUAAAUACUCUCUAGUGACCGAUAGUGAACCAGUACCGUGAGGGAAAGGUGAAAAGCACCCCGGAAGGGGAGUGAAAUAGAACCUGAAACCGUGUGCUUACAAGUAGUCAGAGCCCGUUAAUGGGUGAUGGCGUGCCUUUUGUAGAAUGAACCGGCGAGUUACGAUUUGAUGCAAGGUUAAGCAGUAAAUGUGGAGCCGUAGCGAAAGCGAGUCUGAAUAGGGCGUUUAGUAUUUGGUCGUAGACCCGAAACCAGGUGAUCUACCCUUGGUCAGGUUGAAGUUCAGGUAACACUGAAUGGAGGACCGAACCGACUUACGUUGAAAAGUGAGCGGAUGAACUGAGGGUAGCGGAGAAAUUCCAAUCGAACCUGGAGAUAGCUGGUUCUCUCCGAAAUAGCUUUAGGGCUAGCCUCAAGUGAUGAUUAUUGGAGGUAGAGCACUGUUUGGACGAGGGGCCCCUCUCGGGUUACCGAAUUCAGACAAACUCCGAAUGCCAAUUAAUUUAACUUGGGAGUCAGAACAUGGGUGAUAAGGUCCGUGUUCGAAAGGGAAACAGCCCAGACCACCAGCUAAGGUCCCAAAAUAUAUGUUAAGUGGAAAAGGAUGUGGCGUUGCCCAGACAACUAGGAUGUUGGCUUAGAAGCAGCCAUCAUUUAAAGAGUGCGUAAUAGCUCACUAGUCGAGUGACACUGCGCCGAAAAUGUACCGGGGCUAAACAUAUUACCGAAGCUGUGGAUUGUCCUUUGGACAAUGGUAGGAGAGCGUUCUAAGGGCGUUGAAGCAUGAUCGUAAGGACAUGUGGAGCGCUUAGAAGUGAGAAUGCCGGUGUGAGUAGCGAAAGACGGGUGAGAAUCCCGUCCACCGAUUGACUAAGGUUUCCAGAGGAAGGCUCGUCCGCUCUGGGUUAGUCGGGUCCUAAGCUGAGGCCGACAGGCGUAGGCGAUGGAUAACAGGUUGAUAUUCCUGUACCACCUAUAAUCGUUUUAAUCGAUGGGGGGACGCAGUAGGAUAGGCGAAGCGUGCGAUUGGAUUGCACGUCUAAGCAGUAAGGCUGAGUAUUAGGCAAAUCCGGUACUCGUUAAGGCUGAGCUGUGAUGGGGAGAAGACAUUGUGUCUUCGAGUCGUUGAUUUCACACUGCCGAGAAAAGCCUCUAGAUAGAAAAUAGGUGCCCGUACCGCAAACCGACACAGGUAGUCAAGAUGAGAAUUCUAAGGUGAGCGAGCGAACUCUCGUUAAGGAACUCGGCAAAAUGACCCCGUAACUUCGGGAGAAGGGGUGCUCUUUAGGGUUAACGCCCAGAAGAGCCGCAGUGAAUAGGCCCAAGCGACUGUUUAUCAAAAACACAGGUCUCUGCUAAACCGUAAGGUGAUGUAUAGGGGCUGACGCCUGCCCGGUGCUGGAAGGUUAAGAGGAGUGGUUAGCUUCUGCGAAGCUACGAAUCGAAGCCCCAGUAAACGGCGGCCGUAACUAUAACGGUCCUAAGGUAGCGAAAUUCCUUGUCGGGUAAGUUCCGACCCGCACGAAAGGCGUAACGAUUUGGGCACUGUCUCAACGAGAGACUCGGUGAAAUCAUAGUACCUGUGAAGAUGCAGGUUACCCGCGACAGGACGGAAAGACCCCGUGGAGCUUUACUGUAGCCUGAUAUUGAAAUUCGGCACAGCUUGUACAGGAUAGGUAGGAGCCUUUGAAACGUGAGCGCUAGCUUACGUGGAGGCGCUGGUGGGAUACUACCCUAGCUGUGUUGGCUUUCUAACCCGCACCACUUAUCGUGGUGGGAGACAGUGUCAGGCGGGCAGUUUGACUGGGGCGGUCGCCUCCUAAAAGGUAACGGAGGCGCUCAAAGGUUCCCUCAGAAUGGUUGGAAAUCAUUCAUAGAGUGUAAAGGCAUAAGGGAGCUUGACUGCGAGACCUACAAGUCGAGCAGGGUCGAAAGACGGACUUAGUGAUCCGGUGGUUCCGCAUGGAAGGGCCAUCGCUCAACGGAUAAAAGCUACCCCGGGGAUAACAGGCUUAUCUCCCCCAAGAGUUCACAUCGACGGGGAGGUUUGGCACCUCGAUGUCGGCUCAUCGCAUCCUGGGGCUGUAGUCGGUCCCAAGGGUUGGGCUGUUCGCCCAUUAAAGCGGUACGCGAGCUGGGUUCAGAACGUCGUGAGACAGUUCGGUCCCUAUCCGUCGUGGGCGUAGGAAAUUUGAGAGGAGCUGUCCUUAGUACGAGAGGACCGGGAUGGACAUACCUCUGGUGUACCAGUUGUCGUGCCAACGGCAUAGCUGGGUAGCUAUGUGUGGACGGGAUAAGUGCUGAAAGCAUCUAAGCAUGAAGCCCCCCUCAAGAUGAGAUUUCCCAACUUCGGUUAUAAGAUCCCUCAAAGAUGAUGAGGUUAAUAGGUUCGAGGUGGAAGCAUGGUGACAUGUGGAGCUGACGAAUACUAAUCGAUCGAAGACUUAAUCAAAUU